This is a long non-coding RNA of Passer domesticus (house sparrow), 275 nucleotides long. RefSeq lists it as uncharacterized. NCBI's taxonomy places the organism in Eukaryota, Metazoa, Chordata, Aves, Passeriformes, Passeridae. The transcript is spliced from 2 exons. The record is from RefSeq and is a predicted model, not a curated record.
UGACAAAAUUGGGAUAAUCUUGUAUCUCACCACUUAUCUGCAAGUAUUGGGGAGCAAAUGAACUUCUGUGAGCUCAGCUUUACAGAGAAGCUAACAAUUUCCAUGGUUGGUCAAAGUGACAACAUGAGUGAGGCUUUGAGAACAAAGGCAAGUAGAAUCCCCUGUCACACCACCACAGUAACGAAGACGCCUGUCAUGCAUCAGAAAACUACACAACAGAAAUUCCCACAGAAAUGGACAACUUCAUGGAAAAUGCUAACUCUGCAUCUCUGAAG